This 119-nucleotide ribosomal RNA is filed under the name Shigella flexneri. Its description in RNAcentral is "partial 16S ribosomal RNA". It matches the Rfam family "Bacterial small subunit ribosomal RNA", at positions 1 to 111 of the family's 1533-position model. The record is from RNAcentral. Lineage: Bacteria; Pseudomonadati; Pseudomonadota; Gammaproteobacteria; Enterobacterales; Enterobacteriaceae.
UUAAAUUGAAGAGUUUGAUCAUGGCUCAGAUUGAACGCUGGCGGCAGGCCUAACACAUGCAAGUCGAACGGUAACAGGAAGCGCUUGCUGCUUCGCUGACGAGUGGCGGACGGGUGAGU